RNAcentral lists this ribosomal RNA (440 nucleotides) under uncultured bacterium. Its description in RNAcentral is "partial 16S ribosomal RNA". It matches the Rfam family "Bacterial small subunit ribosomal RNA", at positions 338 to 795 of the family's 1533-position model. The record is from RNAcentral.
CCUACGGGAGGCAGCAGUGGGGAAUAUUGCACAAUGGGGGAAACCCUGAUGCAGCAACGCCGCGUGAGUGAGGAAGUAUUUCGUUAUGUAAAGCUCUAUCAGCAGGGAAGAAAAUGACGGUACCUGAGUAAGAAGCCCCGGCUAACUACGUGCCAACAGCCGCGGUACUACGUAGGGGGCAAGCGUUAUCCGGAUUUACUGGGGGUAAAGGGAGCGUAGACGGCAGUGCAAGUCUGGAGUGAAAGGCGGGGGCUCAACCCCCGGACUGCUGUGGAAACUGUACGGCUGGAGUGCAGGAGAGGUAGGUGGAAUUCGUAGUGUAGCGGUGAAAUGCGUAGAUAUUAGGAGGAACCCCGGUGGCGAAGGCGGCUUACUGGACUGUAACUGACGUUGAGGCUCGAAAGCGUGGGGAGCGAACAGGAUUAGAUACCCUUGUAGUC